This 2809-nucleotide ribosomal RNA is filed under the name Escherichia coli. RNAcentral describes it as "bacterial LSU rRNA". It matches the Rfam family "Bacterial large subunit ribosomal RNA". The record is from RNAcentral. Lineage: Bacteria; Pseudomonadati; Pseudomonadota; Gammaproteobacteria; Enterobacterales; Enterobacteriaceae.
GGGUUGUGAGGUUAAGCGACUAAGCGUACACGGUGGAUGCCCUGGCAGUCAGAGGCGAUGAAGGACGUGCUAAUCUGCGAUAAGCGUCGGUAAGGUGAUAUGAACCGUUAUAACCGGCGAUUUCCGAAUGGGGAAACCCAGUGUGUUUCGACACACUAUCAUUAACUGAAUCCAUAGGUUAAUGAGGCGAACCGGGGGAACUGAAACAUCUAAGUACCCCGAGGAAAAGAAAUCAACCGAGAUUCCCCCAGUAGCGGCGAGCGAACGGGGAGCAGCCCAGAGCCUGAAUCAGUGUGUGUGUUAGUGGAAGCGUCUGGAAAGGCGCGCGAUACAGGGUGACAGCCCCGUACACAAAAAUGCACAUGCUGUGAGCUCGAUGAGUAGGGCGGGACACGUGGUAUCCUGUCUGAAUAUGGGGGGACCAUCCUCCAAGGCUAAAUACUCCUGACUGACCGAUAGUGAACCAGUACCGUGAGGGAAAGGCGAAAAGAACCCCGGCGAGGGGAGUGAAAAAGAACCUGAAACCGUGUACGUACAAGCAGUGGGAGCACGCUUAGGCGUGUGACUGCGUACCUUUUGUAUAAUGGGUCAGCGACUUAUAUUCUGUAGCAAGGUUAACCGAAUAGGGGAGCCGAAGGGAAACCGAGUCUUAACUGGGCGUUAAGUUGCAGGGUAUAGACCCGAAACCCGGUGAUCUAGCCAUGGGCAGGUUGAAGGUUGGGUAACACUAACUGGAGGACCGAACCGACUAAUGUUGAAAAAUUAGCGGAUGACUUGUGGCUGGGGGUGAAAGGCCAAUCAAACCGGGAGAUAGCUGGUUCUCCCCGAAAGCUAUUUAGGUAGCGCCUCGUGAAUUCAUCUCCGGGGGUAGAGCACUGUUUCGGCAAGGGGGUCAUCCCGACUUACCAACCCGAUGCAAACUGCGAAUACCGGAGAAUGUUAUCACGGGAGACACACGGCGGGUGCUAACGUCCGUCGUGAAGAGGGAAACAACCCAGACCGCCAGCUAAGGUCCCAAAGUCAUGGUUAAGUGGGAAACGAUGUGGGAAGGCCCAGACAGCCAGGAUGUUGGCUUAGAAGCAGCCAUCAUUUAAAGAAAGCGUAAUAGCUCACUGGUCGAGUCGGCCUGCGCGGAAGAUGUAACGGGGCUAAACCAUGCACCGAAGCUGCGGCAGCGACGCUUAUGCGUUGUUGGGUAGGGGAGCGUUCUGUAAGCCUGUGAAGGUGUGCUGUGAGGCAUGCUGGAGGUAUCAGAAGUGCGAAUGCUGACAUAAGUAACGAUAAAGCGGGUGAAAAGCCCGCUCGCCGGAAGACCAAGGGUUCCUGUCCAACGUUAAUCGGGGCAGGGUGAGUCGACCCCUAAGGCGAGGCCGAAAGGCGUAGUCGAUGGGAAACAGGUUAAUAUUCCUGUACUUGGUGUUACUGCGAAGGGGGGACGGAGAAGGCUAUGUUGGCCGGGCGACGGUUGUCCCGGUUUAAGCGUGUAGGCUGGUUUUCCAGGCAAAUCCGGAAAAUCAAGGCUGAGGCGUGAUGACGAGGCACUACGGUGCUGAAGCAACAAAUGCCCUGCUUCCAGGAAAAGCCUCUAAGCAUCAGGUAACAUCAAAUCGUACCCCAAACCGACACAGGUGGUCAGGUAGAGAAUACCAAGGCGCUUGAGAGAACUCGGGUGAAGGAACUAGGCAAAAUGGUGCCGUAACUUCGGGAGAAGGCACGCUGAUAUGUAGGUGAAGUCCCUCGCGGAUGGAGCUGAAAUCAGUCGAAGAUACCAGCUGGCUGCAACUGUUUAUUAAAAACACAGCACUGUGCAAACACGAAAGUGGACGUAUACGGUGUGACGCCUGCCCGGUGCCGGAAGGUUAAUUGAUGGGGUUAGCCGCAAGGCGAAGCUCUUGAUCGAAGCCCCGGUAAACGGCGGCCGUAACUAUAACGGUCCUAAGGUAGCGAAAUUCCUUGUCGGGUAAGUUCCGACCUGCACGAAUGGCGUAAUGAUGGCCAGGCUGUCUCCACCCGAGACUCAGUGAAAUUGAACUCGCUGUGAAGAUGCAGUGUACCCGCGGCAAGACGGAAAGACCCCGUGAACCUUUACUAUAGCUUGACACUGAACAUUGAGCCUUGAUGUGUAGGAUAGGUGGGAGGCUUAGAAGUGUGGACGCCAGUCUGCAUGGAGCCGACCUUGAAAUACCACCCUUUAAUGUUUGAUGUUCUAACGUUGACCCGUAAUCCGGGUUGCGGACAGUGUCUGGUGGGUAGUUUGACUGGGGCGGUCUCCUCCUAAAGAGUAACGGAGGAGCACGAAGGUUGGCUAAUCCUGGUCGGACAUCAGGAGGUUAGUGCAAUGGCAUAAGCCAGCUUGACUGCGAGCGUGACGGCGCGAGCAGGUGCGAAAGCAGGUCAUAGUGAUCCGGUGGUUCUGAAUGGAAGGGCCAUCGCUCAACGGAUAAAAGGUACUCCGGGGAUAACAGGCUGAUACCGCCCAAGAGUUCAUAUCGACGGCGGUGUUUGGCACCUCGAUGUCGGCUCAUCACAUCCUGGGGCUGAAGUAGGUCCCAAGGGUAUGGCUGUUCGCCAUUUAAAGUGGUACGCGAGCUGGGUUUAGAACGUCGUGAGACAGUUCGGUCCCUAUCUGCCGUGGGCGCUGGAGAACUGAGGGGGGCUGCUCCUAGUACGAGAGGACCGGAGUGGACGCAUCACUGGUGUUCGGGUUGUCAUGCCAAUGGCACUGCCCGGUAGCUAAAUGCGGAAGAGAUAAGUGCUGAAAGCAUCUAAGCACGAAACUUGCCCCGAGAUGAGUUCUCCCUGACUCCUU